AUACUACAUGAUUUUCUGACAAGUAUUAAUAUUCAGUAUUGUAGUCUGAAAAUACCUUAAACAAAAGAUGGCUCUUAUCUAUAGUAAAUAAAAAACGGAUAUAUAAAAAUUAAACAAAUUUUUAUUAUUUGAAAUACUUAAAAACUGCGAAUAACCAAAUCAAUGCUUUUAAAAGUUCAACAUGAAAUUAUGAAAGAAAAAUUAAAUAAAAUUAACUCACAACAUAUACAUAUAUUGCCACCUGAAAUGCAAACGGCGACGAUAUAUCUAAAUCUUUUGCUUUUGAAAUUGCUUCAUCAAUAUCACCUACCAUAUAAAAGGCUAUUUCUGGCAUGUCGUCCAUAUCACCAUUUAAUAGCCGUUUAAAUCCUUCAAUGGUUUUACUAACCGGUACCAUUUUACCAGCAUGUCCCGUAAAAACUUCAGCCACUUGAAAAGGUUGUGAUAGAAAACGUUGCAUUUUACGGGCUCGAGCAACAGUGAGUUUGUCUUCUUCCGAAAGUUCAUCCAUACCUAAAAUGGCGAUAAUAUCCUAUAUAUUUGACAAUACAUAGUUACAUUAGAUAUUAAUGGACAUACAUUUUACUAUUAUAACUAUUUUGAAAUUUACCUGUAAAGAUUUGUAGUUUUGUAAUGUUUUUUGGACGGAGCGAGCAACAUUAUAAUGUUCUUCACCCACAAUCAUAGGAUCCAUAAUGCGAGAUGACGAAUCCAGGGGAUCCACUGCCGGGUAAAUUCCCAAUUCUGCUAUUGGUCUAGACAAUACUGUGGUUGCAUCUAAGUGAGAAAAUGUUGCAGCUGGAGCCGGAUCUGUUAGAUCGUCAGCUGGGACAUAAACAGCCUGCACUGAGGAGCCUCAGCAUGAAUAAAUGAAUGAAAUUCGGAAUUAAUUGGACCUCGUUCAUCUAUUGGAUCACCAACAACAUUAAUAAUACGGCCAAGAGUGGCUCGCCCAACGGGGACACGUAUAGGAUGUCCAGUGUCAGUAACUUUUUGACCCCUUCGUAAACCUUCAGUACUAUCCAUAGCAACUGAACGCACAGUAUUAUUGCUUAAAUGAUGAAAUACCUAGUAUGGAGUAUUAAUUACAAAAGCAAACCUCUAAAACUAAUCUUGGACCGGCUUUAUAGUCUGAAACCUCCAUUGCAUUCAUAAUGUCUGGUAUAUUUUCAUCGUCAAAAAUUACAUCAACAACAGGACCAAUAACAGCAUGUAUACGCCCAACUUUGGAAAGGGUUUUAUCAACUACUGUGGUGUUGCUACCAGUUUUAUCGGUUCUUGAAGAUUUCGGCGUUUCAUUUUCACAAAUUGGUUCAGAUCGUGAAGAGUUUUAGAACAAAUGUUAAGGACACAAUUAUUUAACUUAUGUUUACCAUCUUCUUUCUUCGAACAAACAGCCGAAUAUUUCUGGUAAAAGUGACUACAAUUUACAGAGAAUACUUGGGGAAAACACAGAGUGUUUUGUUGUACAACAUUUUGCAAGGCUAUUGAUUGGCAUAUAAAUUUAACAAUGAACUAUAGACAUGUUUUAAAAUCUCUUCACACAUACUUACCCAAGCCAAUUUUUGAGAAUUUAUUAAAUUUAUUUAAAACAUUCAUUUUUGAUAAAUUAAGUUUUGUAAAUUUUUCAAGAUUAGACAAAUUUGUAAUACGUAUAUUUUUAUGAGUGCUCUGUUUUUUUUUUGCAUAGAAUGACAGUUUCACUUUGUAAUUUUCCAAUACAUAAACCAAAGAACGUUAAUAGAGCCCCAGCAGUUCGACAAAGUCUCAAUGCAUACGAAAAAGACACUAAUUUUCACUAAUAGUUACCCACCUGGACGAUCGUAUUUCGUAUGUUUUGGAUCAUUCGUCACGAAUGUGCCCUUUGUAAUCGAGAAUGAAGACAGUCGUCAAUUUAGUGUCGUCCUCUUUGUAAGUGGGAGUGAAGACAGUCGUCUCUUUACUGUCCUUAAGUAACCUAGAGAUUAUAUUCUUAGAAGUUAUUUUUUUUCGAGAAUGAAGACAGUCGUCACUUUAGUGUCCCCUUUUGUAAGCGAGAG
Long non-coding RNA from Lucilia cuprina (Australian sheep blowfly), 2039 nucleotides. RefSeq lists it as uncharacterized. The record is from RefSeq and is a predicted model, not a curated record. NCBI's taxonomy places the organism in Eukaryota, Metazoa, Arthropoda, Insecta, Diptera, Calliphoridae. The transcript is spliced from 5 exons.